GAUUAUGGCUCAGGAUGAACGCUGGCGGCGUGCUUAACACAUGCAAGUCGAACGAAGCAACUAUCUUGCUGCAAGAGAGUUGACUUAGUGGCGGACGGGUGAGUAACGCGUGGGUAACCUGCCUCAUACAGGGGGAUAACAGUUGGAAACGACUGCUAAGACCGCAUAACCCGCUAGUGUCGCAUGACACGGACGGAAAAUAUUUAUAGGUAUGAGAUGGGCCCGCGUCUGAUUAGCUAGUUGGUAAGGUAACGGCUUACCAAGGCGACGAUCAGUAGCCGACUUGAGAGAGUGAUCGGCCACAUUGGGACUGAGACACGGCCCAAACUCCUACGGGAGGCAGCAGUGGGGAAUAUUGGACAAUGGGGGAAACCCUGAUCCAGCCGACGCCGCGUGAGUGAAGAAGUAUUUCGGUAUGUAAAGUCUCUAUCAGCAGGGAAGAUAAUGACAGUACCUGACUAAGAAGCCCCGGCUAACUACGUGCCAGCCGCCGC
Molecule: ribosomal RNA, 494 nt
Filed under: uncultured bacterium
Lineage: Bacteria
Description: bacterial SSU rRNA
Rfam family: Bacterial small subunit ribosomal RNA
Source: RNAcentral